RNAcentral lists this unclassified non-coding RNA (219 nucleotides) under Cryptodiscus sp. RNAcentral describes it as "partial contains 5.8S ribosomal RNA, internal transcribed spacer 2, and large subunit ribosomal RNA". Lineage: Eukaryota; Fungi; Ascomycota; Lecanoromycetes; Ostropales; Stictidaceae. The record is from RNAcentral.
CGCAUAUUGCGCCCUUUGGUAUUCCGAAGGGCAUGCCUGUUCGAGCGUCAUUUACAAUUCUCCAGCUCUGCUUGGUGUUGGGCGGCACCGGAAGGUGCGCCUAAAAAUUAGCGAUGGUCCACCAAACCACAGGCGCACAGUUGUCGUCAUGGGGGGCAAGUGGAACAGCAAACUCCAGAUGUUGACCUCGGAUCAGGUAGGAAUACCCGCUGAACUUAA